AUUGAACGCUGGCGGCAGGCUUAACACAUGCAAGUCGAACGAGUGGCGGACGGGUGAGUAAUGCUUGGGAAACUGCCCUAUGGAGGGGGAUAACUACGGGAAACUGUAGCUAAUACCGCGUACCAUAGGAUGAGCCCGACUGGGAUUAGGUAGUUGGUGGGGUAAAGGCUCACCAAGCCGACGAUCUCUAGCUGGUCUGAGAGGAUGACCAGCCACACUGGAACUGAGACACGGCCCAGACUCCUACGGGAGGCAGCAGUGGGGAAUAUUGCGCAAUGGGGGCAACCCUGACGCAGCCAUGCCGCGUGUAUGAAGAAGGCCUUCGGGUUGUAAAGUUCUUUCAGUGGGGAGGCGUUAACUGCAGAAGAAGCACCGGCUAACUCCGUGCCAGCAGCCGCGGUAAUAC
This 406-nucleotide ribosomal RNA is filed under the name uncultured bacterium. RNAcentral describes it as "partial 16S ribosomal RNA". It matches the Rfam family "Bacterial small subunit ribosomal RNA", at positions 30 to 526 of the family's 1533-position model. The record is from RNAcentral.